Lates calcarifer (barramundi perch) is the source of this 1441-nucleotide long non-coding RNA. RefSeq lists it as uncharacterized. Lineage: Eukaryota; Metazoa; Chordata; Actinopteri; Centropomidae. The transcript has 3 exons. The record is from RefSeq and is a predicted model, not a curated record.
ACGUCACCGUUUUUAGAUAAAAGCGUCGUAAACAUCCGGCACUUCACGGGUUGUUCCAAGUCUUGGUUUGGUUCGUGCGUCGUCAGAGUUGCAGAGUUUGUAGCAGGUGUUGGAGGAAUGAGCUGCUGCUGAUGCAGGUGAAUGCUCCACUUUGCAGAGAAAUGAUGGAGAAGUGUUUGUUGCUGUUGCUGUGGCUGCUGGCUGGAGAAACCCUGCAGAGCUGCCAGGACAAGAGGAGCUGCCAGCCGCCGUCUGUCUCAGCCAGAGAGGCUUCGGCCUGAGAGGCUUCUAACAUUCUGUCAGUGUGUGGUGGCGUUUGGUGCCGUUAUCAGAGGAACCCUCGGUCCGGCGGGAAGAGGCUGAGGUGGAGGAGGGAGGUUUGGGUUGCUGGGGCGGCAGCGGUGGUGGUGGUGGUGGUGGAGGGGGUUGUCGGUGUGUGGGAGGAUCCUGGCUGUCACAGGACAUGAGGAUGACAGGCUUGGCUGCCACUCACCGCCGCUCUUCCUGAUCGGCUGUGAUGUGCCAAGAUGGACAUCAGCACAGCCGGGGCGUCUCUGGCUACCAGCCCCGCCUGUCCGCUCACAUGCCAACACAAACUGCACAAUAUCUUGUUUUAGGGGAAGAGCCGCGGCACUUUUGGCAUCAGACGCCUGCCUCGGCGUCAUUUGGCUGCCGCUCUGGUGUCUUCAGGGCCUGUUUGGAGGGAGCUGCACCGCCUCUCUGUGUGUUUUUUUUAUCAGGAAAACCGCCGAACAAAUCACUCCAAAACUUUAAUGUUCGGUGCCAACGUGACCGUCAGCCCUCACCCAGCAGAAUUGAUGAGUGCCUUCUGAUAAUCCAUUAAGACACGGCUAAAGGUCGCGGGGUAUAAAUAGCCUUCAAGGACGCGGCGUGGAGUCAUCUGAGGGAAAUCAGACUGAAGAGGACACACAUGAAACUCCUCAUUAAUCUGGACACAAAGGUGUUUGUCUGUUAUUAAACAUCUCUGUCAGGUGACCUGUCACAUUCCUUCCUCCGUCAGGGGAUAAACAGGGGUGGACAAAAUAACAGCAACACCUGAGAACAGGACUUCUUGACCUUUUCUUACCCACGACCUCGUUUAUAGCUCCGAAUAUUUUACAGAACAAAUCCAGUGAUGAGAGUUUCAGGUUCUUCGUGGAGCUGGAGGUGAAAAGCUUCUGUUACAGAUGGAUUAUAAUGAAACAAUGAGAAGAGAGCGUUUUGUAUUUUGUUUAUUCCCAUCAUCACUGAAACCUCAGUUACUCAUUUUGUAACAGGAGUGAAUAGGAAACAGAUCGGUAACAUGAAGACAGAAAGAAAAGUCCAUAAAACUGAGAAACUAAAUCCAAAGUUUCCUUUUAGAGAGACUUCCACGAUCAGAACAGAUUUUUAUUUUCAGGCUUGUUCAGAGGUUUUAAUUUAAGAAUAUGAUAAAUAAAUG